UACGUAGGGUGCAAGCGUUGUCCGGAAUUAUUGGGCGUAAAGAGCUCGUAGGCGGUCUGUCGCGUCUGCUGUGAAAACUCGGGGCUUAACCCCGGGCCUGCAGUGGGUACGGGCAGACUAGAGUGCGGUAGGGGAGACUGGAAUUCCUGGUGUAGCGGUGAAAUGCGCAGAUAUCAGGAGGAACACCGGUGGCGAAGGCGGGUCCCUGGGCCGUAACUGACGCUGAGGAGCGAAAGCGUGGGGAGCGAACAGG
RNAcentral lists this ribosomal RNA (253 nucleotides) under uncultured bacterium. RNAcentral's name for it is "partial 16S ribosomal RNA". It matches the Rfam family "Bacterial small subunit ribosomal RNA", at positions 524 to 776 of the family's 1533-position model. The record is from RNAcentral.